CCCAGACUCCUACGGGAGGCAGCAGUGGGGAAUAUUGCACAAUGGGGGAAACCCUGAUGCAGCGACGCCGCGUGAGUGAAGAAGUAUUUCGGUAUGUAAAGCUCUAUCAGCAGGGAAGAAAAUGACGGUACCUGACUAAGAAGCCCCGGCUAACUACGUGCCAGCAGCCGCGGUAAUACGUAGGGGGCAAGCGUUAUCCGGAUUUACUGGGUGUAAAGGGAGCGUAGACGGCAGCGCAAGUCUGGAGUGAAAUGCCGGGGCCCAACCCCGGAACUGCUCUGGAAACUGUGAAGCUGGAGUGCAGGAGAGGUAAGCGGAAUUCCCGGUGUAGCGGUGAAAUGCGCAGAUAUCAGGAGGAACACCGGCGGCGAAGGCGGCUUACUGGACUGUAACUGACGUUGAGGCUCGAAGGCGUGGGGAGCAAACAGGAUUAGAUACCCCCGUAAA
RNAcentral lists this ribosomal RNA (447 nucleotides) under uncultured bacterium. RNAcentral describes it as "bacterial SSU rRNA". It matches the Rfam family "Bacterial small subunit ribosomal RNA", at positions 330 to 794 of the family's 1533-position model. The record is from RNAcentral.